ACACUUGGAAACAGGUGCUAAUACCGUAUAACAACUGAAACCGCAUGGUUUCAGUUUGAAAGAUGGUUUCGGCUAUCACUUCUGGAUGGACCCGCGGCGUAUUAGCUAGUUGGUGGAGUAAUGGUUCACCAAGGCAAUGAUACGUAGCCGACCUGAGAGGGUAAUCGGCCACAUUGGGACUGAGACACGGCCCAAACUCCUACGGGAGGCAGCAGUAGGGAAUCUUCCACAAUGGACGAAAGUCUGAUGGAGCAACGCCGCGUGAGUGAAGAAGGGUUUCGGCUCGUAAAACUCUGUUGUUGAAGAAGAACACAUCUGAGAGUAACUGUUCAGGUGUUGACGGUAUUUAACCAGAAAGCCACGGCUAACUACGUGCCAGCAGCCGCGGUAAUACGUAGGUGGCAAGCGUUGUCCGGAUUUAUUGGGCGUAAAGCGAGCGCAGGCGGUUUCUUAAGUCUGAUGUGAAAGCCUUCGGCUUAACCGGAGAAGUGCAUCGGAAACUGGGAGACUUGAGUGCAGAAGAGGACAGUGGAACUCCAUGUGUAGCGGUGAAAUGCGUAGAUAUAUGGAAGAACACCAGUGGCGAAGGCGGCUGUCUGGUCUGUAACUG
This 610-nucleotide ribosomal RNA is filed under the name uncultured bacterium. RNAcentral describes it as "bacterial SSU rRNA". It matches the Rfam family "Bacterial small subunit ribosomal RNA", at positions 146 to 742 of the family's 1533-position model. The record is from RNAcentral.